AUAAUAUCUGGCUGUGAUAUCUGUCACCCUCAUUGAUCGCCAAGGCUGAUUUGGCUGAUCUGGCUCCAGAAGCGGGUGUCCUCUUCCUUCCUCACCUUCAAUGUUCCAUAUGUGUUUUUCCUGAAGCUAUGGAGCAACCAUCACUGACAGAAAAGGACCCUUUCCUCAGUCAAAUAUACACAAGUAGCUGUGCUCCCCUGUUAGAACCCCCAAACAAGCUCUCAAAAAGCCAUGUGCUCCAAUACUGCCUACAGACUAAGUAACAGCUACCUCAUGUACUUGCACAUCUUUUAUAUAAAAAUCUUGGGGCCAGAACUGUUUGAGAUUUUUUUAAAUUUGA
Molecule: small nuclear RNA, 340 nt
Filed under: Octodon degus (degu)
Lineage: Eukaryota; Metazoa; Chordata; Mammalia; Rodentia; Octodontidae
Description: 7SK RNA (ENSODEG00000023051.1)
Rfam family: 7SK RNA (bases 1-300)
About the family: 7SK was discovered as an abundant small nuclear RNA in the mid-70s but a possible function has only recently been suggested. Two independent studies have found that 7SK RNA binds the CDK9/cyclin T complex (known as elongation factor P-TEFb). P-TEFb activates transcription by phosphorylating the C-terminal domain of RNA polymerase II.
Source: RNAcentral